AUUGAACGCUGGCGGCAGGCUUAACACAUGCAAGUCGAACGGUAGCAGGAGAAAGCUUGCUUUCUUGCUGACGAGUGGCGGACGGGUGAGUAAUGCUUGGGAAUCUGGCUUAUGGAGGGGGAUAACUACGGGAAACUGUAGCUAAUACCGCGUAGUAUCGGAAGAUGAAAGUGCGGGACCGUAAGGCCGCAUGCCAUGAGAUGAGCCCAAGUGGGAUUAGGUAGUUGGUGGGGUAAAGGCCUACCAAGCCUGCGAUCUCUAGCUGGUCUGAGAGGAUGGCCAGCCACACUGGAACUGAGACACGGUCCAGACUCCUACGGGAGGCAGCAGUGGGGAAUAUUGCGCAAUGGGGGGAACCCUGACGCAGCCAUGCCGCGUGAAUGAAGAAGGCCUUCGGGUUGUAAAGUUCUUUCGGUAUUGAGGAAGGUUGAUGUGUUAAUAGUACAUCAAAUUGACGUUAAAUACAGAAGAAGCACCGGCUAACUCCGUGCCAGCAGCCGCGGUAAUACGGAGGGUGCGAGCGUUAAUCGGAAUAACUGGGCGUAAAGGGCACGCAGGCGGUUAUUUAAGUGAGGUGUGAAAGCCCCGGGCUUAACCUGGGAAUUGCAUUUCAGACUGGGUAACUAGAGUACUUUAGGGAGGGGUAGAAUUCCACGUGUAGCGGUGAAAUGCGUAGAGAUGUGGAGGAAUACCGAAGGCGAAGGCAGCCCCUUGGGAAUGUACUGACGCUCAUGUGCGAAAGCGUGGGGAGCAAACAGGAUUAGAUACCCUGGUAGUCCACGCUGUAAACGCUGUCGAUUUGGGGAUUGGGCUUAAAGCUUGGUGCCCGUAGCUAACGUGAUAAAUCGACCGCCUGGGGAGUACGGCCGCAAGGUUAAAACUCAUAUGAAUUGACGGGGGCCCGCACAAGCGGUGGAGCAUGUGGUUUAAUUCGAUGCAACGCGAAGAACCUUACCUACUCUUGACAUCCAUGGAAUUCUGUACAGAUACGGGAGUGCCUUCGGGAACCAUGAGACAGGUGCUGCAUGGCUGUCGUCAGCUCGUGUUGUGAAAUGUUGGGUUAAGUCCCGCAACGAGCGCAACCCUUAUCCUUUGUUGCCAGCCAUUUAGUCGGGAACUCAAAGGAAACUGCCCGUGAUUAACUUGGAGGAAGGUGGAGAUGAACUUCUAUUCAUCAUGGUCCCUAACGAUUAGGUCUACACACGUGCCUCUAUGGCGUAUAACAGAGGGUUGGCGAAAUCUGCUAGGUUGGAGUGAAUCUCAUAAAGUACUUCUUACUCUGGUUUGGUGUCUGCAACUUUAAUCUAUUGAUGUCGGAA
RNAcentral lists this ribosomal RNA (1319 nucleotides) under uncultured bacterium. RNAcentral describes it as "bacterial SSU rRNA". It matches the Rfam family "Bacterial small subunit ribosomal RNA", at positions 28 to 1331 of the family's 1533-position model. The record is from RNAcentral.